Molecule: ribosomal RNA, 468 nt
Filed under: uncultured bacterium
Lineage: Bacteria
Description: partial 16S ribosomal RNA
Rfam family: Bacterial small subunit ribosomal RNA
Source: RNAcentral
GACGAACGCUGGCGGCGUGCUUAACACAUGCAAGUCGAACGGAAAGGCCCUGCUUUUGUGGGGUGCUCGAGAGGCGAACGGGUGAGUAAAACGUGAGUAACAUGUACUUGUCUUUGGGAUAACUUCAGGAAACUGGGGCUAAUACCGGAUAGGAGCUCCUGCUGCAUGGUGGGGGUUGGAAAGAGUCGGCGGUUGGGGAUGGACUCGAUGGUUAUCAGCUUGUUGGUGGGGUAGGGGAUUACAAAGGCUUUGACGGGUAGCCGGCCUAAGAGGGGUACCGGCGACAUUGGUACUGAGGUACGGCGCAGACGCCUACGGGCCGCAGCAGGCGGGAAUCUUGCAGAACGGGCGCAAGCCUGUUGCAGCAACGCCGCGUGCGGGAUGACCGCUUUCGGGUUGUAAACCGCUUUCUCCGUUGCCGAAGCGAGCGUGACGGUAAUGGGUCAAGAAGCACCGGCUAACUACGUG